This 117-nucleotide ribosomal RNA is filed under the name Pteropus alecto (black flying fox). The record is from RNAcentral. Lineage: Eukaryota; Metazoa; Chordata; Mammalia; Chiroptera; Pteropodidae.
GUCUACAUAUUCCACCCUGAACACGCCCGAUCCCAUCUGAUCUCGGAAGCUAAGCAAGGUCGGGCCUGGUUAGUACUUGGAUGGGAGACCACCUAGGAAGACCAGGUACUGUAGGCA